GAUUGGUUCAACCAAAAAUUGGCCUUCAGGUCAUGUUGCAGGGAAUUUAGGCUAUGUUUGUUUAUAAGAAUUACAUUUGGGAUAGGAUUAUUAAUCCCAAGUGUCUUGUUUGUUUUUAAAUUUAGACUUUGACUAUUAGUCUCGAGAUUAUAAAAUGACUUAAUAGUCUUUACAUUAUAAUUAUAAUCCCUGGAUUAUAAUCCUAGGAUUAAUCGUCUUGGGAUUAUAAUCUCGGGAUUAUAAUUCUUACAAACAAACAUAACUUUAGUGGUUAACUUGAUUGAGUCCAAUUUUUUUCUUCAAUAAGGAGACAUGAAAUACGGGGAGAACUAAUGAUCAUGGAGGUAAAACUAACUUGUACGUCACCUUACCAGUAAUUUUUAUUACUUCAAAAGGCCUAAAAUAUUUGGAAGAGUUCUUUAAAUAUUUCCGUAAAGGAAUUGAGGAUUGUCUAUAAGGCUACAAGCAUAGGUACACCCAAUCCCCU
Molecule: long non-coding RNA, 487 nt
Filed under: Panax ginseng (ginseng)
Lineage: Eukaryota; Viridiplantae; Streptophyta; Magnoliopsida; Apiales; Araliaceae
Description: long non-coding RNA (PGIN_LNC017072)
Source: RNAcentral